This 358-nucleotide ribosomal RNA is filed under the name uncultured bacterium. RNAcentral describes it as "bacterial SSU rRNA". It matches the Rfam family "Bacterial small subunit ribosomal RNA", at positions 8 to 353 of the family's 1533-position model. The record is from RNAcentral.
AGAGUUUGAUCAUGGCUCAGGAUAGAACGCUAGCUACAGGCUUAACACAUGCAAGUCGAAGGGGAAACGACAUCGAAAGCUUGCUUUUGAUGGGCGUCGACCGGCGCACGGGUGAGUAACGCGUAUCCAACCUGCCCACCACUUGGGGAUAACCUUGCGAAAGUAAGACUAAUACCCAAUGAUAUCUCUAGAAGACAUCUGAAAGAGAUUAAAGAUUUAUCGGUGAUGGAUGGGGAUGCGUCUGAUUAGCUUGUUGGCGGGGUAACGGCCCACCAAGGCAACGAUCAGUAGAGGUUCUGAGAGGAAGGUCCCCCACAUUGGAACUGAGACACGGUCCAAACUCCUACGGGAGGCAGCA